This is a non-coding RNA of Oryza barthii, 207 nucleotides long. The record is from Rfam. Lineage: Eukaryota; Viridiplantae; Streptophyta; Magnoliopsida; Poales; Poaceae.
AAUAAGUGCAGUUUUGCACUAUUCACGUUCAACGUUUAACCGUUUGUCUUAUUUAAAAUUUUUUUUAUGAUUGGUAUUUUUAUUGCUAUUAGAUGAUAAAACAUGAAUAUUACUUUAUGUGACUAAAUAUUUUUAAUUUUUUCACAAAUUUUUCAAAUAAGACGGACGGUCAAACGUUGGGCACGGAUAUCCACAGUUGCACUUAUU